RNAcentral lists this unclassified non-coding RNA (381 nucleotides) under soil metagenome. RNAcentral describes it as "partial contains 5.8S ribosomal RNA, internal transcribed spacer 2, and large subunit ribosomal RNA". The stretch from base 3 to 121 matches the Rfam family "5.8S ribosomal RNA", at positions 36 to 154 of the family's 154-position model. The record is from RNAcentral.
GAAUGAAGAACGUAGCGAAAUGCGAUAAGUAAUGUGAAUUGCAGAAUUCAGUGAAUCAUCGAAUCUUUGAACGCACCUUGCACCCUUUGGCAUUCUGAAGGGUAUGCUCGUUUGAGUGUCAUUGUACUCUCACACUCCCGAUCUUUGCAUUGGGAGCAGUGGACUUGGGUUUGCUGCUUCACCGUCGCUUACCUCAAAUAGGUUAGUGCAACUCUUGGUUGGACAUAGUACGGCGUGAUAAGUGUUCUUCGCCGGUGCCUCGCAAAGAGGGUGGCCGAUCGGGAUGUUGUGCUCCAAACCGUCUUCGGACAAUCUCUGACGACUUGACCUCAAAUCGAGUAAGACUACCCGCUGAACUUAAGCAUAUCAAUAAGCGGAGGA